GGGGUUGUAGCUCAGCUGGGAGAGCGCUUGCAUGGCAUGCAAGAGGUCGAGGGUUCGAUCCCCUUCAACUCCA
Molecule: transfer RNA, 73 nt
Filed under: bacterium
Lineage: Bacteria
Description: tRNA-Ala
Rfam family: tRNA
About the family: Transfer RNA (tRNA) molecules are approximately 80 nucleotides in length. Their secondary structure includes four short double-helical elements and three loops (D, anti-codon, and T loops). Further hydrogen bonds mediate the characteristic L-shaped molecular structure. tRNAs have two regions of fundamental functional importance: the anti-codon, which is responsible for specific mRNA codon recognition, and the 3' end, to which the tRNAs corresponding amino acid is attached (by aminoacyl-tRNA synthetases). tRNAs cope with the degeneracy of the genetic code in two manners: having more than one tRNA (with a specific anti-codon) for a particular amino acid; and 'wobble' base-pairing, i.e. permitting non-standard base-pairing at the 3rd anti-codon position.
Source: RNAcentral